AUGACUUUCAUCCCCGUCUUCAUCUGGACACUGAUCCUCUGGACUCAAGAAUGCAGAGGUCAAGCCACAGUAACUCAGACUCCUGCAGUGAAAUCUGCUCUUCCAGGAGAAACAGUCACCAUCAACUGUAGAACCAGUCAGGCAGUGUUUAGUAGUAACUACUUACACUGGUAUCAGCAGAAACCUGGAGAAGCUCCUAAACUCCUGGUUAAGCUCGCAAAUCAGCGACAGUCAGGUAUUCCAGCUCGUUUCAGUGGCAGUGGAUCUGGAUCUGAUUUCACUCUGACCAUCAGUGGAGUCCAGACUGAAGAUGCAGGAGAUUACUACUGUCAGAGUUUGCAUUACAUCAGUAGCAACUACGUGUUCACACAGUGUUAUAGAGUCGUACAAAAACCUCCCUCAGUCAGAUUGUAGAGAGACUGAACUGCUGCAGCUGGGAGAGACUGCAGGUGCUGAGUUGGAGGAUGUGAUACGACACAAUGACACUCUGUGGAGGAGAGGAACCAAAACAUAUACAAUAUCCAUUACUUAAGCAUUCACACUCUUUGCAUUUUUCAAUAUUUUGUAGUGUUGCAACGUGGAACUGAAAUGCACAAAAUGCACUGAGAUUAAAUCUCAUUAAGCAACACAAAACAUCCCAUAAUAGUGAAGACUGGGGAAAAUGAAUAGUUUGCAAAAAGUAUUCAUGAAACAACAUUUUAAAUGCUUUGAUUGUAUAAAUUUUCACCCUUGUUUGUGGCUUAAUUCUGAUAUAUUUGUUUUAUUGUAGUCAGAGCUGAGUACAAACUACAAAGUGCUCACAUGGAACAUCUCAUCAACCCCAUAACCUUUAAUAACAAAGCUUAGUCUAUAUCUGUUUCUUAUCACACAUGAUGACAUCAGUCUGACUCCUCAUGUCGAAACACUCCACCUAUUUUUAUUUUGUGGAAACUCUGAGCCUUUUCUAGACACAAUUAUAUUUUACUUUUACAUUUUACAUUUCCAGUUCAGUUUUAAUAUAAAACAUAAAAAUAAAUGUCUCAUCCCUAUUAUUAUGGUUUUUUAUUUUUUUAUUUUUUAAGAUUCUGCAGUUUGAAACUUUUUCAUUUCAUGUUAAGAAGACAUCAUGGGUGUGUCAGUCACAAUCCCUUUUCCAUGUUAAUUAUUCUAAGCUUAUGGCUAAUUUAUGCAUUCUGAAUUAUAUGUUUUAGCUUAGACCUGGGAUAAACUUGAUUUUCUCCAUCAGUGUGCUUUCACAGUGGACAGAUUCUCCCAGACUUCAACUACACGUGUCCCACACAACUAACACUAUCUGAGCAGAUUACCUGACCUUGACUCUAACUUCAACUUUAGAGGAGUUACAAUGGAUGCUGCGGUGCAGACUCUGUAUGUUUCUGAUAAUACUUACAAUACUAAGAAAGUUACUGUUAAUUCAUUAGCUACACAAAGACUGUUCAUGCUUAAUAGAUACACCUAAUCGGUGCACCCUUAUUGUCUUAUUAAACCAAUAAUAGAAAUAGUGUUCAAAACUAUUCAUGAUGUCACUUCGUCCAUUUACAAUGAGACAAAUUCAUAUAGCCCUCAUAUGUCCCACAUGUCACAUGUAGGGCACAUGCAGAAAUUACUGCAGUUAUUUUAAUGUUGUUGAAGGCCUCUUAGUUGAUAUUGAUCUUGAUUGAUAGUUUUCAACAAUAUCACAUCACUGCCUUUCCAAUUCGGUGUUACCAAGAAAUCCCAAAGGAACAGCUGUACAUUAUUUGGGAUUAAUCAGUCAUUUUAACUGAUAGCAGGUGUAUACUAUCUAGUAUAUUAAAUGAGGUAAAAUGUGACCUGGUUGAUCCUGAGCAUUGCCAAAUUCAGAGUUAUAGAAGGUUGUGCACACAUAUGCAAAUUGGGUAUUGGAUGUGUUUGUUUAUUUUUUCCCUAAAACAUUUCAGGUUGUCUGUCAAUUGGUUUUUACAUAAAGCAAAAUCACAAAAAGGUGAAAAGGUUUCAUAGUUUGAUUAUUUUGACCUUUUAUAUGCACUGUAGUUGUCAUGCUGUCAUACUCAGCAUCAUAUUUGCAGCAUCUGGCAGAUGAGUUUCCAUACUGAGAGGACACUUUGCAUUGGCAGCA
This is a non-coding RNA of Hemibagrus wyckioides, 2095 nucleotides long. The record is from the annotation of a RefSeq genome assembly. Lineage: Eukaryota; Metazoa; Chordata; Actinopteri; Siluriformes; Bagridae.